GCGUUUGCGGGUGCCGAACCUAUGGCUCGUUUUGUGUGGCUCAGCCUGUUGGGAACCGAUUGCUUGACUAUAUGGCUGUCUAUUCAGCCUGGUUGGGCUUUUGGGACCUUGUUUGUACGGGUGUCGGGUGGCGUUUGUCAUUCUGCACUCGAGCUGUAUGCCUAUGAUUGCUCAAGGGCUGGUUUCGGCUAGUCAUUGGGUUAUUGUAUGGUCAUAUGGCUUUUGAAUUGUUAAGCCGACUGGCUUGUUCUGAUCGUCGAGUGGGUCACUUGUGGCUCAUUUUGACUGUGCUUAUGCGAUAUACGAUUUAUAUCGAGGCGCGAGAGGGUACCCCACUGCGCCGGUAUUGCUGCUCCGUGCGGGAAAUUGUAGACCGUGCGGUUGCUCAAUCCAUUCAUACAAGAGGUGUCAAAUUUAUAUUGGUCCGCACAAGUGGGUACUCUUGUGUGGGCAAAGGUUUUCAAUUGUUUCGCUUCCACUUUGUGGUUGCGCGCGCACUCAUUCCUUCGGGUUUGGGUUGCUUGAAAGAGUGAAU
This 535-nucleotide unclassified non-coding RNA is filed under the name Posthodiplostomum centrarchi. RNAcentral describes it as "partial external transcribed spacer". Lineage: Eukaryota; Metazoa; Platyhelminthes; Trematoda; Diplostomida; Diplostomidae. The record is from RNAcentral.